CGGCGAUUUCCGAAUGGGGAAACCCAGUGUGAUUCGUCACACUAUCAUUAACUGAAUCCAUAGGUUAAUGAGGCGAACCGGGGGAACUGAAACAUCUAAGUACCCCGAGGAAAAGAAAUCAACCGAGAUUCCCCCAGUAGCGGCGAGCGAACGGGGAGGAGCCCAGAGCCUGAAUCAGUGUGUGUGUUAGUGGAAGCGUCUGGAAAGGCGCGCGAUACAGGGUGACAGCCCCGUACACAAAAAUACACAUAUUGUGAGCUCGAUGAGUAGGGCGGGACACGUGGUAUCCUGUCUGAAUAUGGGGGGACCAUCCUCCAAGGCUAAAUACUCCUGACUGACCGAUAGUGAACCAGUACCGUGAGGGAAAGGCGAAAAGAACCCCGGCGAGGGGAGUGAAAAAGAACCUGAAACCGUGUACGUACAAGCAGUGGGAGCACGCUUAGGCGUGUGACUGCGUACCUUUUGUAUAAUGGGUCAGCGACUUAUAUUCUGUAGCAAGGUUAACCGAAUAGGGGAGCCGAAGGGAAACCGAGUCUUAACUGGGCGUUAAGUUGCAGGGUAUAGACCCGAAACCCGGUGAUCUAGCCAUGGGCAGGUUGAAGGUUGGGUAACACUAACUGGAGGACCGAACCGACUAAUGUUGAAAAAUUAGCGGAUGACUUGUGGCUGGGGGUGAAAGGCCAAUCAAACCGGGAGAUAGCUGGUUCUCCCCGAAAGCUAUUUAGGUAGCGCCUCGUGAAUUCAUCUCCGGGGGUAGAGCACUGUUUCGGCAAGGGGGUCAUCCCGACUUACCAACCCGAUGCAAACUGCGAAUACCGGAGAAUGUUAUCACGGGAGACACACGGCGGGUGCUAACGUCCGUCGUGAAGAGGGAAACAACCCAGACCGCCAGCUAAGGUCCCAAAGUCAUGGUUAAGUGGGAAACGAUGUGGGAAGGCCCAGACAGCCAGGAUGUUGGCUUAGAAGCAGCCAUCAUUUAAAGAAAGCGUAAUAGCUCACUGGUCGAGUCGGCCUGCGCGGAAGAUGUAACGGGGCUAAACCAUGCACCGAAGCUGCGGCAGCGACGCUUAUGCGUUGUUGGGUAGGGGAGCGUUCUGUAAGCCUGUGAAGGUGUGCUGUGAGGCAUGCUGGAGGUAUCAGAAGUGCGAAUGCUGACAUAAGUAACGAUAAAGCGGGUGAAAAGCCCGCUCGCCGGAAGACCAAGGGUUCCUGUCCAACGUUAAUCGGGGCAGGGUGAGUCGACCCCUAAGGCGAGGCCGAAAGGCGUAGUCGAUGGGAAACAGGUUAAUAUUCCUGUACUUGGUGUUACUGCGAAGGGGGGACGGAGAAGGCUAUGUUGGCCGGGCGACGGUUGUCCCGGUUUAAGCGUGUAGGCUGGUUUUCCAGGCAAAUCCGGAAAAUCAAGGCUGAGGCGUGAUGACGAGGCACUACGGUGCUGAAGCAACAAAUGCCCUGCUUCCAGGAAAAGCCUCUAAGCAUCAGGUAACAUCAAAUCGUACCCCAAACCGACACAGGUGGUCAGGUAGAGAAUACCAAGGCGCUUGAGAGAACUCGGGUGAAGGAACUAGGCAAAAUGGUGCCGUAACUUCGGGAGAAGGCACGCUGAUAUGUAGGUGAAGUCCCUUGCGGAUGGAGCUGAAAUCAGUCGAAGAUACCAGCUGGCUGCAACUGUUUAUUAAAAACACAGCACUGUGCAAACACGAAAGUGGACGUAUACGGUGUGACGCCUGCCCGGUGCCGGAAGGUUAAUUGAUGGGGUCAGCGCAAGCGAAGCUCUUGAUCGAAGCCCCGGUAAACGGCGGCCGUAACUAUAACGGUCCUAAGGUAGCGAAAUUCCUUGUCGGGUAAGUUCCGACCUGCACGAAUGGCGUAAUGAUGGCCAGGCUGUCUCCACCCGAGACUCAGUGAAAUUGAACUCGCUGUGAAGAUGCAGUGUACCCGCGGCAAGACGGAAAGACCCCGUGAACCUUUACUAUAGCUUGACACUGAACAUUGAGCCUUGAUGUGUAGGAUAGGUGGGAGGCUUGGAAGUGUGGACGCCAGUCUGCAUGGAGCCGACCUUGAAAUACCACCCUUUAAUGUUUGAUGUUCUAACGUUGACCCGUAAUCCGGGUUGCGGACAGUGUCUGGUGGGUAGUUUGACUGGGGCGGUCUCCUCCUAAAGAGUAACGGAGGAGCACGAAGGUUGGCUAAUCCUGGUCGGACAUCAGGAGGUUAGUGCAAUGGCAUAAGCCAGCUUGACUGCGAGCGUGACGGCGCGAGCAGGUGCGAAAGCAGGUCAUAGUGAUCCGGUGGUUCUGAAUGGAAGGGCCAUCGCUCAACGGAUAAAAGGUACUCCGGGGAUAACAGGCUGAUACCGCCCAAGAGUUCAUAUCGACGGCGGUGUUUGGCACCUCGAUGUCGGCUCAUCACAUCCUGGGGCUGAAGUAGGUCCCAAGGGUAUGGCUGUUCGCCAUUUAAAGUGGUACGCGAGCUGGGUUUAGAACGUCGUGAGACAGUUCGGUCCCUAUCUGCCGUGGGCGCUGGAGAACUGAGGGGGGCUGCUCCUAGUACGAGAGGACCGGAGUGGACGCAUCACUGGUGUUCGGGUUGUCAUGCCAAUGGCACUGCCCGGUAGCUAAAUGCGGAAGAGAUAAGUGCUGAAAGCAUCUAAGCACGAAACUUGCCCCGAGAUGAGUUCUCCCUGACUCCUUGAGAGUCCUGAAGGAACGUUGAAGACGACGACGUUGAUAGGCCGGGUGUGUAAGCGCAGCGAUGCGUUGAGCUAACCGGUACUAAUGAACCGUGAGG
This 2790-nucleotide ribosomal RNA is filed under the name Escherichia coli. Its description in RNAcentral is "partial 23S ribosomal RNA". It matches the Rfam family "Bacterial large subunit ribosomal RNA". Lineage: Bacteria; Pseudomonadati; Pseudomonadota; Gammaproteobacteria; Enterobacterales; Enterobacteriaceae. The record is from RNAcentral.